RNAcentral lists this ribosomal RNA (483 nucleotides) under uncultured soil bacterium. RNAcentral's name for it is "bacterial SSU rRNA". It matches the Rfam family "Bacterial small subunit ribosomal RNA", at positions 26 to 506 of the family's 1533-position model. The record is from RNAcentral.
AGAUUGAACGCUAGCGGGAUGCUUUACACAUGCAAGUCGAACGGCAGCGCGGACUUCGGUCUGGCGGCGAGUGGCGAACGGGUGAGUAAUAUAUCGGAACGUGCCCAGUAGCGGGGGAUAACUACGCGAAAGCGUGGCUAAUACCGCAUACGCCCUACGGGGGAAAGGGGGGGAUCGCAAGACCUCUCACUAUUGGAGCGGCCGAUAUCAGAUUAGCUAGUUGGUGAGGUAAAGGCUCACCAAGGCGACGAUCUGUAGCUGGUUUGAGAGGACGACCAGCCACACUGGGACUGAGACACGGCCCAGACUCCUACGGGAGGCAGCAGUGGGAAUUUGGACAAUGGGGAAACCUGAUCCAGCCAUCCCGCGUGUGCGAUGAAGGCCUUCGGGUUGUAAAGCGACUUUGGCGAGGAAGAAACGGACGUGACUAAGUAUUCAGCGUCACUGACGGUACCUGCAGAAUAAGACACCGACUAACUACGU